UAGCUCGUCAUGCUAGAGCACUAGAGCACUUUUUCAAUGGGCUCCCCAACGACAAGGCGACGACGCAUUCGUAUGUCAUCCAUAUCAACUUUUGAUGCCAUUUACUGCGCCUACCAUGUUGACCACGGGUAACGGGGAAUCAAGGUUCAAUUCCUGAGAGGGAGCCUGGGAAAUGGCUACCACAUGCAAGGAAGGCAGCGGGCGCGCAAAUGACCCACUCCCGACACGGGAAGGUAGUGA
Pelobates cultripes (western spadefoot toad) is the source of this 240-nucleotide non-coding RNA. The record is from the annotation of a GenBank genome assembly. Lineage: Eukaryota; Metazoa; Chordata; Amphibia; Anura; Pelobatidae.